This 295-nucleotide ribosomal RNA is filed under the name uncultured bacterium. Its description in RNAcentral is "partial 16S ribosomal RNA". It matches the Rfam family "Bacterial small subunit ribosomal RNA", at positions 775 to 1067 of the family's 1533-position model. The record is from RNAcentral.
GGAUUAGAUACCCUGGUAGUCCACGCCGUAAACGAUGUUUGCUAGUUGUCAGGCCCUCAGGGUUUGGUGACGGAGAGAAAUCAUUAAGCAAACCGCCUGGUGAGUACGGCCGCAAGGUUAAAACUCAAAGGAAUUGACGGGGACCCGCACAAGCGGUGGAGCAUGUUGUUUAAUUCGAAGCAACGCGAAGAACCUUACCCACUCUUGACAUCCUCCUUGGGACUUGGAGAGAUCCUUGUCUUCGGUUCGGCCGGGGGAGUGACAGGUGCUGCAUGGCUGUCGUCAGCUCGUGCUG